RNAcentral lists this ribosomal RNA (272 nucleotides) under uncultured bacterium. RNAcentral describes it as "partial 16S ribosomal RNA". It matches the Rfam family "Bacterial small subunit ribosomal RNA", at positions 86 to 354 of the family's 1533-position model. The record is from RNAcentral.
CCCGGGCGACCGGCGCACGGGUGAGUAACGCGUAUGCAACCUGCCCGUUUCAGCGGGAUAACCCGGAGAAAUCCGGCCUAAUACCGCAUGUGGCCGAGGGGAGGCAUCUUCUUUCGGCCAAAGGAGGCAACUCCGGAGACGGAUGGGCAUGCGUGACAUUAGCUUGUUGGCGGGGUAACGGCCCACCAAGGCGACGAUGUCUAGGGGUUCUGAGAGGAAGGUCCCCCACACUGGUACUGAGACACGGACCAGACUCCUACGGAAGGCAGCAG